AAGAAGUUAAUUACCCUCUAACCCUAGACAACAACCCAACAACUGUUCAUGCUGCUGAGCAAGGAAAACACAGUCUCGGGCCAGGUAUUCAGGUGAAAUAUGCUACCAUUUCAAUCUGGAAUGAGAUGGAUUUUUCCUCAAGACAUAUGACUUUCACGUGGAAAUCAAUAAGACACGAGAUCAGAUGGAAGGAACACAACAACUGGGAAUACCAUCCAAUAUAGCGAAGGAAUUAUUUCCACACAAACCAACAGAAGUAGAAGUUCUACUUCCGGAUGGAACUUGGCAAAUAUGGAAGAUCAAGUGGAACUCUCGUUGACACCACCGUGGCUUCUUCUGCAACGGAUGGACAACCUUUAGAAGUGCAGAAAUAGACAACACAUGCUUAGAAGGAGGGAAUCACAUUCUAUAUAUGUGGAUGCGAACUGAUAAGAACAUCUAUGCCAUUGACAUUGACCACUGGCCAAAGGAGACAACUAUAGCACAUCAAGGAGCAUCAAGAUUGAGGUUUCAAUGACAUAAAGUGAGCUGGAGACAACAGUCAAAUUUGCAUUUUGGGGACCUACAUUUCCUACCAUAAAGAGCUUCAUAUGGUGUCAUCUUAAUGCUUGAGUGAUAACUAUUAUUAUAUGAAAACUCUAUUAGUGGCAAAUAUCUAUCCCAACUAUCACCUUGUUCCAAAAUGCACGCCCUGAGCAUAUCUUCUAAUGUUUGGAUUGUUCUUUCUGUUUGCCCAUCAGUUUGAGGGUGAUAUGCUGUACUAAGACAUAAUUUUGUUCCAAAAGCUUUUUGUAGAGCUCCCCCAAGAAGAAAACCUAGGGUCUCUAUCAGAAAUAAUGUUAGAAGGUACUCCAUGUAAUCUUACUAUUUCUUGUAUAUACAACUGAGCUAACCUAUCUAGAGUGUAUGUUUCUUUAAUAGGUAAAGUGGGCAGAUUUAGUCAGUCUAUCUACAAUAAUCCAUAUGGCAUCAUGUUUAGAUUGAGUCCUAGGUAAUCCCAUCACAAAAUCCAUAGAUAUACUAUCCCACUUCCAUUUAGGAAUUUCUAAAG
Long non-coding RNA from Lotus japonicus, 1051 nucleotides. RefSeq lists it as uncharacterized. Lineage: Eukaryota; Viridiplantae; Streptophyta; Magnoliopsida; Fabales; Fabaceae. The transcript is spliced from 3 exons. The record is from RefSeq and is a predicted model, not a curated record.